Molecule: ribosomal RNA, 395 nt
Filed under: uncultured bacterium
Lineage: Bacteria
Description: partial 16S ribosomal RNA
Rfam family: Bacterial small subunit ribosomal RNA
Source: RNAcentral
AUACGUAGGGUGCAAGCGUUAAUCGGAAUUACUGGGCGUAAAGCGUGCGCCGGCGGUUUUGUAAGACAGGGGUGAACUCCCCGGGCUCAACCUGGGAAAUGCCAUUUUGACUGCCAGGCUGGAGUGCGGCAGAGGGGGAUGGAAUUCCGCGUGUAGCAGUGAAAUGCGUAGAUAUGCGGAGGAACACAGAUGGCGAAGGCCAUCCCCUGGGCCUGCACUGACGCUCAUGCACGAAAGCGUGGGGAGCAAACAGGAUUAGAUGCCCUGGUAGUCCACGCCCUAAACGAUGUCAACUGGUUGUUGGGGAUUUAUUUUCUCAGUAACGAAGCUAACGCGUGAAGUUGACCGCCUGGGGAGUACGGCCGCAAGGUUAAAACUCAAAUGAAUUGGCGGGG